GGGGAGGGAAAGGAUUACAAACAAGUUUGGCAGCUGGAAGAGGAUUUUUUUUCUGUAAUGCUGCGUACGUACUCUCUUCCACUCCUGACAACCAUGGGCCCCUAGGUAAAUCCUCAGCCAGCCACAGGUUGUGCCUAGUCUGUGCCUAUCAGCAGAGUAUCUCAGCACCUUACGGUUGUACACUAAGCAACAUCUCCAAGCACUGUGCAAACACUGAUCCCUAGAUCACUCCUGUGAAGCAGGUAGAAAAAUGAAACCUACACACUUGCCAUACCUGUUACUGACCUGCUUUCUUCUACAUGAGGCUGCCUGUAAACCCUUAAAACCCAAUUGUGAUCUUGUAAAAUGCAAGACAUGUCCAAAGCAACAUAUCGCAGUGGCGUCUAAGAACAAGUGCUGCGCAACCUGCGUCCCUACGUGUUCCUGCCCCGACCACCAGGAGUUUGAAUGCAACAUGCAAGGCUUUAAAUAUGGAAAGAUCCCCCUGGGAGAGUCUUACUACAUAGACUUUGCCACCACGAAGUGCACCUGUGUUUCUCCUGGGAAUAUCUCCUGCACCUCGCUUUGCCCUACGGUUUCUCCCACAUGCAAGGAAACAGGAGGAGUGGCUGAUGGCUGCCCUCAAUGUAUCUGUCACAUUGAGGAUUACAGUUUUGUAGUUGCUGGAAGUACCAUCCAAAGAGAUGCAGAGACUUGCAAAUGUCCCCCUGGAGGUGGCAAGCUUCAGUGCACCCCCUCUAAAUCUCACAUUGCUAGUACACCCAGCGCCAACACAGAGUAGGCCCUGCUCUCAGCAUGAGCUAAGUGUCAGUGCCAAGGGAAGGUCUUUGUGGUUAGAAUAGAGGAGAAGUUCAGCAAUGUCCUUGGGCAGCUUAUGGAAAACUCACACAGAAUAUAAAAGAAACUGAUUGCCUUGCUAGAGGUGUUUUUGGUGGGGUCCCAGUGGCAGAACAGUGAAACCAUCUCAUGAAGGCUCCAGGGAACAUGCCCCACUCUGGAUUCAUGCCAUAGCCUAGUGAGGGACCAACCUUUUCGGCAGGCGUGCCAUGAAUUAACCCCACACCCUCCCUGAGGGCCCCUCUGAUCCCCUUCUCCUGUCCAGUCUGCUGCUCUGUUUUCUGUUCCCAGGCCUGUGCUCCCUGCCCUAUCUGCUGCUGUGCUGCCUGUCCCCUCCCCAGUCAGCUGUAUGCCACACACAAAGGCUGCUCAUGCCACCCCUAUCAUAGGUCAUCCCCUGUCAAUCAGGGUUUAAAAAGGUAUCUGGUCAUUCAGCCUAGCCACAUUGCUCCCUUUUGUGCUGAUUGCAUGCCUUAGCAAUGCUAACUUUAUGGGCAGCUAAGCUCAACUGGACCUUUGACUUAUGGGUGUUUCAAGCUGUCCUAUACAAUUUAAUAAAGAAUCAGAUUCCUGCUAUAGCAUUUCAUAGAGUUGCUAUCCUUUAUGAUAUCUAUAAGCCAGUUCAAAGCAUUUAUAGUAAGGCAACCUUUUUCU
Molecule: long non-coding RNA, 1491 nt
Organism: Alligator sinensis (Chinese alligator)
Lineage: Eukaryota; Metazoa; Chordata; Crocodylia; Alligatoridae
Exons: 3
Source: RefSeq, a predicted model, not a curated record